Molecule: ribosomal RNA, 200 nt
Filed under: uncultured bacterium
Lineage: Bacteria
Description: partial 16S ribosomal RNA
Rfam family: Bacterial small subunit ribosomal RNA
Source: RNAcentral
UACUAAAGGUGCAAGCGUUAAUCGGAAUUACUGGGCGUAAAGCGCGCGUAGGUGGUUUGUUAAGUUGGAUGUGAAAGCCCAGGGCCUACUACGUGAACUGCAUUCAAAACUGACUCACUAGAGUACGAGAGAGGUUAGUGGAAUUUCCUGUGUAGCGGUGAAAUGCGUAGAGAUGGGAAGGAACACCAGUGGCGAAGGCG